Molecule: long non-coding RNA, 2574 nt
Filed under: Mus musculus (house mouse)
Lineage: Eukaryota; Metazoa; Chordata; Mammalia; Rodentia; Muridae
Description: long non-coding RNA chr6:120890264-120892838
Source: RNAcentral
AGAUACCCUGCAUAUCAGAUAUUUAUAUUGCAGUUCAUAAUAGUAGCAAAGUUACAGUUAUGAAGUAGCAACAAAAGUAAUUUUAUGGUCUGUUGUUACCCUAACAUGAGGAACUGUAUUCAAAGGGCGCAUCAUUAGGAAGGUUGGGAACCACUGGUCUAGUUAGCACACUCAUUUGGGUGGUUUAUGUAUACCUCACCCAAAGCAUCCCUGGUUCCUCCUGCCUGCAUUUCAGUCCCUUCGGGUGUCUUGACUGAGUAGAGUGAAGGUCCUCGGAGCCUGGUCCUUUGAAGGCUGCCACCGUUUGUGAGCCUAUGUGCUAAGCCCCCAGUUAGAGAACAGUGCCUGCUCUCGCCUUCUGCUCUAAAGGUGAGAUGUGGGCAUUCAACCUCUUAAGAGCUACUUUAUGGACACUACACUGUCUAGUGAAGAAAGAAGUUCUCUUCCACAUGAACUCUGUGCUCACUGGCAUGAGCCUUGACCUCUUGCCUCACACACACCUGUGAUCUCAACAGUCUAGCAUUGAGAACCUCCAUUUGUGAGAUGGCUGUGACAAGCUACCCUUUUAAGUGAGCUCUGUGUGGGUUACUACUCCUUAUGCUGAUACUGAUUGAGCACGCAAUGCAUGCUGGAGGCUGGAGGGUUUUCACACCUUACGCCUCCUUCAGGUCCUGUCUAAACAUCCCAGGCUACUGGGUAUAAACCACCGAGAACUGGUUUACCGAGUUGCCUAGCUUAUCAGAGGCAAGGCAGUGAGUGAAAAAUUCCCAACUCCAUCCAGGUCUAGUGUUUUUCUUAGUGACCCUCUGUGUGUGGCAGAGCCCCUGUUUACAGUUGUGUGAAAUUACUGCACACAGCAGCCUAGGUGUAGCCUGUGUUUGUUUCUGUGAAAGUUCCAUGUAGGCUAAGUACCCAGUCUGCUGAAUACAGAAACCUAAGGAACAAGCUUUGUAUUGCACCACUGCCCCUUUAGGCACUGGGUGACCCUGUGGUCUGUAGUGUUGUUGGUGAAUGUGUUGUCUUCUUGCUGUAAACAAGGUCAGGCCAUCUGACACAGCUCUCAUCACCAAGCAGCGAUAUGAAGGCGGCCAGCCACUUGACAUUUUUGUCGGGUUUUUGUUGUUGCAGUUUUGAUCCCUCCGGUCCUUCCUCCCUGCAAUGGCCAUCGGUCUAGGGUAGGCACACGGAAGGAUGAGUGGACACCUAGAGAUACUGUUUGGAUUCCUGGCCCUCAGGCUCAGGAUUAACGAGGUAGCCUUCCAUCCCACUCAUCUGACGAGAGUGCUUCCUAGUGAAAACUCUGCCACAGAACAGUGCUGUGCCCAUCAGACCCGAGUCUGUGGUCUUAGUUAUCUACCCUGUAAAAAGCUAUUCGAGAGCUGGAAGCUCUCCUAGUCAUCUUCACACAGCCCUCCUCGAAAACCCAACUUGGCUUGCCAUGUCCCUGUGUGCAGCGAGGGUCCUUCCCAUGCUCAUGUUUACACACACCCCCAUCCCCUCCGAUGUUGUCAGUGUCUCAGGUCAGAACCGUCUCAGGGACACCUUUGAGGCCGAGGCCCAAAUUAGCAGUCAGCUCAGGGGCCUCCGUCAGCACGUCACUCUGGUGCUGCCCUUUGCGGCACGGAAUAAUAAGCUGGUUACUGGAUAGCUUUCGGCAAACAUUUUGAUACGAAAAGCUGUUCAUUUAUUUAUGUGUGUGUGGCUGCAUGCCACAGUGUGCAUGUGGGAGUCAGAGGACAACUUGUGAAGUUGAUUUGUUCUCUACUUCCGAUAUGUGGGUCCCAAUGCUUGAUGGAAGGCACCUUGAUCCAUGGAGUUUUCUUGCCAGUGCCACGUUUUGUCAUUGUGAGAUGACAGGUUUGUGGAUGCCUUCCCCCAGGAAGGUGAGCUACACACCUCCCUUAGUGAGGCCUAAAACAGUCUGUGUGGUCCUACAUCCAUGGGCCAUCUGUUGGCCAGCCUUUUUCUCCUGGACCUAUAUUUCCCCUGCUCUGACAACCCAUGAUUUUCUUCCUUGAGACUAAAAGUGCCUCUUUCUCCUAACUCCUUGAUUAAACUCAGUUUGUUAGUGGUUCUGGUAUCUUGUCCCCCAGGUACUGGAAUGGUUAUCCUUAACAUAGCAGAGUCAGGUAGAUGUAGCUAUCAAUGUCUGCCCGGGGUGCAUGAAAUCCUGGGUUCCAUCCUGGGCAUGGAAUACGUACCUGUAAUCCCAGUACUCGGGUGAAGGCAGGAAGACAAUGUUCAAGGCCAUACUAGGCUCAGAGCUAAAGGCUAGCCCUGGACACUUGAGAUCCUAUCUUAAAAAAAAAAAAACUAAACUAGCAUAAGCAUUUAACCCAGGCAGCGUUCAUUUGCAGUGUGCGCCAACAGCUGACUGCUGCUGUCUGAUCUGCUCACUCUAUUACUGCGAAUUGUUCCAAUUGUUCCGGCCCCUUUCCCAUACUGUUGUCUACUUUGUGCCCAAUCUAUUCUUUAUCGGCAAGUGACAAUUCAAGUCUACAAACUGUGCUUUCAUUUAGAAGCAACAUCAUGGGGGGAAGCACCCUGGAGGUGACAAUAAAACGAGAUUUUAUG